UGAGCCCUUGGAUGGUGCCACAUCAAUUAAUGAAACAGAUCCAAGCGCCCAGGAUUUUUGAUAUUUUCUUAUUUUUGUUUUAAUUUCUUUUAAUUUCUUUUUUUUUCAAAAAAUCAUAACUAUUUUAUUUGAAGUCACAAAAAUAUGAGAACAAUGGCAAAAAAAUUCCUGAAAAAUCUAGUUUCAUAUUUUGAUUUUUAAUUAUUUUUAUGACUUCAUU
Molecule: long non-coding RNA, 220 nt
Filed under: Lathyrus oleraceus (garden pea)
Lineage: Eukaryota; Viridiplantae; Streptophyta; Magnoliopsida; Fabales; Fabaceae
Description: Pisum sativum (pea) long non-coding RNA (PSAT_LNC007888)
Source: RNAcentral